Ornithorhynchus anatinus (platypus) is the source of this 2529-nucleotide RNA transcript. It is a transcript of the gene named tRNA nucleotidyl transferase 1, with no coding region annotated. The record is from RefSeq and is a predicted model, not a curated record. The transcript has 9 exons. Lineage: Eukaryota; Metazoa; Chordata; Mammalia; Monotremata; Ornithorhynchidae.
CGCUCCGCCCUCGCGCCGCUGUUCUCUGCCCAGUCGCGCGCCGCACUUCCCUUUCUCCGCCGGGCGCCGUGGUGGGAGUCGAUGCUGAGGCACCUGUUCUGGGGACACAGAGUGGUGUUCCACUCAUGCUUCUCCACGGUCAAGCUUUUAAAGUGCUGUCUAUUUACAAUGCAACUGCAGUCACCGGAGUUCCAGGCACUGUUCACCCAAGGACUGAAGAGUGUGGCAGAGAUAUUUGUUAAAGAAAAUCAUGAAAUAAGAAUAGCCGGAGGAGCUGUACGGGAUUUGUUAAGCGGAACGCCACCACAUGAUGUGGACUUUGCCACUACUGCGACCCCUGAUCAAAUGAAGAUGAUGUUCAAGGCUGCUGGUGUUCGGUUGAUCAAUCACAAAGGAGAAAAUCACGGUACCAUUACUGCCAGACUUCAUGAAGAAAACUUUGAAAUUACUACUCUUAGGAUUGAUGUCAUGACCGAUGGAAGACAUGCAGAAGUAGAGUUCACGACUGACUGGGAAAAAGAUGCUGGACGCAGAGAUCUCACCAUAAACUCUAUGUUUUUAGGCUUUGAUGGUACCCUGUAUGACUACUUCAAUGGUUAUGAAGACUUAAAAAAUAAGAAAGUUAGAUUUGUUGGACUCCCAAACAAGAGAAUUCAGGAAGAUUAUCUACGGAUUUUGAGAUAUUUCAGGUUCUUUGGAAAAAUAGCAGAAAAUCCCGAUGACCACGAUCCUGACACGUUAAAAGCCAUUAAGGGAAAUGCAAAAGGAUUGGCUGGAAUAUCAGGAGAGAGGAUUUGGGUGGAGCUGAAAAAAAUUCUUGUUGGUAAUCAUGUAGAACACUUGGUUCGACUUAUGUAUGAGCUUGACGUGGCUUAUUAUAUAGGGUUGCCUACUGAUGUGAAUUUAGAAGAACUUGACAAAGUCUAUAAAAACACUCGGAAUCUUUCUGCGAGUCCAAUAACCUUUUUGACUUCAUUAUUCAGAGAUCAGGAUGAUGUCACAAAACUUGAUUUCAGGUUGAAGAUUUCCAAACAAGAAAAAAAUCUGGCCCUGUUUCUGUUGAAGCACAGGAAAGAUUUAAUUAAAGCUGCUGACAGUUCUGAACCACUCAAACCAUUUCAGGAUUUCAUUUUAGAUUAAUUUGGUGCCGUGACUUGCCUGACAACGGUGUGGAGCAGUCUGUCUCUCAGUGAUCCCCAGGCACGACAAAAGCGAUCCUCCUGACCCCUAACACCACUGUCAAGUGCCAGAACCUGAACUCCUGAAUCCACACCUCUCACCGUCAGAAGUCUGCUGCCCCUCCUGAAACUGAAACCAAAAGAAACCCAACUAGUUGAUCACGCCUGUUGAAAUGACACCAGCGUGUGGCAGGACCUGAACACCUACUGGAACCUGAAGGGACUCCUGAAGUUUGACUUGUUGGUCUAAUCUGUAUUUUCUUAUUUUAGCUAGAAAAAUGGAAUGGUUUAACCUUUGAUUUCGAAUUUGUACUAUAGGAUUCCCCCGAUCCUUAUUAGGCCGACAGAUUCCUCUAUACUUUGAUUCAGUUGACCUUAAUAUAUAAUUGUUGGGUAUGUGCUCAGGUGCUUCUCAUAGCCCAGGAGGAAUACCCAACCUUUAGUCCCUUGCAAUCUGGCUGAUUAUGACUCUGAGGGCUGGAACAUAGGGGUCAGAAUUUUAUGGCUUGUUGAUGAUAUUGGUUUCCUUGACUGCUGUCUUCUAUGCUCUUCAAAUUGCUGUUACAGCUGCACAGAGAGCAAACAAUGAGAAAGUUCCAACUGGCCUAUAGCAGGGAACUUGGGGAGGGAGAGAGCUCAGAGAGGAAGGGGAUGUUUGGGAUAUGAUGAGGUUCAGACCAUAAGACUUCCCACCCCGACAUCAGGAGGGCUUUCUGCAGACAGUUGCCCAGGCCUCAAAGUCUGACUGCCAAAAAGGCUCCCACCAUGAGCAGCAGCCAGACGGGUGUAGGGUAUCCAGAGUAGUAUGAGUCCUGGAGACAUGGCUCCUUGACUCUGCCUUGUGCUAAAAGCACACGAGACGGGGGGAUGUGGAAGCACAGUGGUCAAGGCCUUGCAUUUGUCCCCCUUUCUCUCUGACCUUCCCCUCUGACCUAGGCUUGCUUGACCAUGCUGGGUGUGCCCGAUGACUUGUCGACUCAAGCCAAGCCUGGCUCUUUGAGUCAAAUAGCUCGAUGACUGGAUUGACUCAAAUUGAGCAGCCAGGCCCGAUUUGAGAGAAGAUGAAACUAUUCCCUUGAGUUAAUCCAGUAGAAUGGAGCAGGUCCAGGCCUGAACGGAAAAUGCCUGAGGGACUUACUGCUUUCUAUCCUAAAGUAUUUCUCUGGUAUUGUAUCCUUCUGAUCAUUAUGACUGCUUUACCAAUGGACUAUAAAGAAAUUCCGCAUUGCUUGAAGUUGAGCUGGCCCUGACUAGCAGGAGAAUCUCUGCCGCUCCAUGCCUCUCCCGACUAGUGCCGGAAGAAACGCAAGUGGUAAUAAACUUGUCUCUGACAUACCCUUUUUAAACACAA